AGCAGCCGCGGUAAUUCCAGCUCCAAUAGCGUAUAUUAAAGUUGUUGCAGUUAAAAAGCUCGUAGUUGAAUUUCGGGAUCAAUAUAUUGGUCGUGCCUCUGGUAUGUACUGGUAUCGUUGAUUUCUACCUUCUGACGAACCAUGAUGUCAUUAAUUUGGUGUCAUGGGAAAUCAGGACUGUUACUUUGAAAAAAUUAGAGUGUUUAAAGCAGGCACACGCUUGAAUACAUUAGCAUGGAAUAAUGAAAUAGGACGUUUGAUCCUAUUUUGUUGGUUUCUAGGGUCGACGUAAUGAUUAAUAGGGAUAGUUGGGGGCAUUAGUAUUCAAUUGUCAGAGGUGAAAUUCUUGGAUUUAUUGAAGACUAACUACUGCGAAAGCAUUUGCCAAGGAUGUUUUCAUUAAUCAAGAACGAAAGUUAGGGGAUCGAAGACGAUCAGAUACCGUCGUAGUCUUAACCAUAAACUAUGCCGACUAGGGAUCGGAUGAUGUUAAUUUUUUAAUGACUCAUUC
RNAcentral lists this ribosomal RNA (511 nucleotides) under uncultured Glomus. RNAcentral's name for it is "SSU rRNA". It matches the Rfam family "Eukaryotic small subunit ribosomal RNA", at positions 569 to 1081 of the family's 1831-position model. Lineage: Eukaryota; Fungi; Glomeromycota; Glomeromycetes; Glomerales; Glomeraceae. The record is from RNAcentral.